GAAUGUGAGGGUAAUCUGGCAGUGACAUCUGUCACCCCAUUGAUCUCCAGGGUUGGUUUUGCUGAUCUGACUGGCUAAGCAGAUGUCCUCUUCCUCCCUCCCUCAUCAUUCCAUGUGUGUCUGCACACUCAGUCGAAGAGGGUGGCCAUCCCCAAAUAGAGACCAACUGGUCUUCGGUUAAGGGUAACUGCAAGUAGCUGCACCCCCCUGCUAGAACCUCCAGACAAACUCAAAAGUUCCAAAAUGUAUGUUUUGGAAUAGCUGCUGGUAGUUGGGGACAGUCACUGUUUACUCCUGCUUUCCUAAAAGU
Molecule: non-coding RNA, 310 nt
Organism: Erinaceus europaeus (western European hedgehog)
Lineage: Eukaryota; Metazoa; Chordata; Mammalia; Eulipotyphla; Erinaceidae
Source: Rfam